Molecule: ribosomal RNA, 253 nt
Filed under: uncultured bacterium
Lineage: Bacteria
Description: partial 16S ribosomal RNA
Rfam family: Bacterial small subunit ribosomal RNA
Source: RNAcentral
UACGUAGGGGGCAAGCGUUGUCCGGAUUUAUUGGGCGUAAAGAGCGUGUAGGCGGCCAGACAGGUCAGCUGUGAAAACUCGAGGCUCAACCUCGAGACGCCGGCGGAAACCAUCAGACUAGAGUCCGGAAGAGGAGAGUGGAAUUCCUGGUGUAGCGGUGAAAUGCGCAGAUAUCAGGAAGAACACCCGUGGCUAAGGCGGCUCUCUAGUACGGUACUGACGCUGAGACGCGAAAGCGUGGGGAGCGAACAGG